Molecule: non-coding RNA, 46 nt
Filed under: Trichobilharzia regenti
Lineage: Eukaryota; Metazoa; Platyhelminthes; Trematoda; Strigeidida; Schistosomatidae
Source: RNAcentral
GCACUGCUGAAGAGUCCCUCACUAGGAUGAAACAGCUGUCCAGUAC